This 408-nucleotide ribosomal RNA is filed under the name uncultured bacterium. RNAcentral describes it as "partial 16S ribosomal RNA". It matches the Rfam family "Bacterial small subunit ribosomal RNA", at positions 29 to 526 of the family's 1533-position model. The record is from RNAcentral.
AGUGAACGCUGGCGGCGUGCCUAAUACAUGCAAGUCGAACGGAGUGGCGCACGGGGGAGUAAUAUAUAGCUAAUCUGCCCCUUGCUGGAGGACAACGGUUAGAAAUGACUGCUAAUACUCCAUAGAAAGGGAUGAGACUAUACCGUAUCAGCUAGUCGGUGGGGUAACGGCCUACCGAGGCUAGGACGCGUAACUGGUCGGAGAGGAUGAGCAGUAACAUUCGAACUGAGGCACGGGUCAAAAUCCUACGGGAGGGAGCAAUAGGGAAUAUUAGGAAAUGGGGGAAAGUCUGACGCAUCAACGCCUCGUGGAGGAUGACUGUUUGCGAAGCGUAAACACCUUUUUUAAUGAAAGCGGUACCUAACGAGUAAGCACCGGCUAACUCCGUGCCAGCAGCCGCGGUAAUUC